UACGGGAGGCAGCAGUGGGGGAUAUUGCGCAAUGGGGGAAACCCUGACGCAGCAACGCCGCGUGGAUGAUGACGGUUUUCGGAUUGUAAAGUCCUUUUCUUAGGGACGAAUAAUGACGGUACCUAAGGAAUAAGCUCCGGCUAACUACGUGCCAGCAGCCGCGGUAAU
This 168-nucleotide ribosomal RNA is filed under the name uncultured rumen bacterium. RNAcentral describes it as "partial 16S ribosomal RNA". It matches the Rfam family "Bacterial small subunit ribosomal RNA", at positions 340 to 524 of the family's 1533-position model. The record is from RNAcentral.